CCUGAUGCAGCGACGCCGCGUGAGGGAUGACGGCCUCAGGGUUGUAAACCUCUUUCAGUAGGGAAGAAGCGAAAGUGACGGUACCUGCAGAAGAAGCACCGGCUAACUACGUGCCAGCAGCCGCGGUAAUACGUAGGGUGCGAGCGUUAUCCGGAAUUAUUGGGCGUAAAGAGCUCGUAGGCGGUUUGUCGCGUCUGUCGUGAAAGUCCGGGGCUUAACCCCGGAUCUGCGGUGGGUACGGGCAGACUAGAGUGCAGUAGGGGAGACUGGAAUUCCUGGUGUAGCGGUGGAAUGCGCAGAUAUCAGGAGGAACACCGAUGGCGAAGGCAGGUCUCUGGGCUGUAACUGACGCUGAGGAGCGAAAGCAUGGGGAGCGAACAGGAUUAGAUACCCUGGUAGUCCAUGCCGUAAACGUUGGGCACUAGGUGUGGGGACCAUUCCACGGUUUCCGCGCCGCAGCUAACGCAUUAAGUGCCCCGCCUGGGGAGUACGGCCGCAAGGCUAAAACUCAAAGGAAUUGACGGGGGCCCGCACAAGCGGCGGAGCAUGCGGAUUAAUUCGAUGCAACGCGAAGAACCUUACCAAGGCUUGACAUGUUCUCGAUCGCCGUAGAGAUACGGUUUCCCCUUUG
This 631-nucleotide ribosomal RNA is filed under the name Micrococcus sp. So2Pt_161. RNAcentral's name for it is "bacterial SSU rRNA". It matches the Rfam family "Bacterial small subunit ribosomal RNA", at positions 382 to 1022 of the family's 1533-position model. The record is from RNAcentral. Lineage: Bacteria; Bacillati; Actinomycetota; Actinomycetes; Micrococcales; Micrococcaceae.